UCCCUUACUCACUCCCCUCCUUCGCACUUUGAAUGCAUAGAUGCCUCCUGACCUGGUUUUUUUUUUUUUUUCAAAUCAAUGAGGUCAAUUCUAAGAUAGUGCCCUUAGUUCCCUUGAGCAACAAUCACUUUCCAUCUACCUUUAAGAAAUCAAUCAGUCUGAAGUCAGCACAUUGGAAAGGACUCUGCCCCUGGAAAGGGUAGCAAAGAAGAGAGCUGUUCUGAUAACCAGUCAGAUCAGCAGAGACAGUUCUACAAACUCAGCCCUGCCAUGACUUGAGAAGUGACUGGAGUGGUUGGAUGCCUUUGAAGGUACACACCAUUAACACUGAAGGAAUGAAGAAGAAUUUCUCCUCUUCAAGGCUCUUGAACCACUUCCACCCCUCACAUAGGCAUGAAAUUAAGAAAAUGAGACCCAGAAGGUUCAUAAUUCAAGUUUUUGACACCUGGUUUAGUGUCCUCACUACAAUGCACUGAAAGGAAAAUGCUGCCAGGACCCACUAGCCAUGAAGUCCUUCAAAUACCAGUUAUAGAUUGAUGGCUAAAUUCGGAGAGAUUCUUCAUUCAAGGGCUGGCCAUAAGAUGAUUGAUUUUGAGGGACAUAACUCACAGAGACUAUCUAUUAAUAAAAGGGUUACAUCCUAUAUUGAUGCCUCCA
RNAcentral lists this long non-coding RNA (657 nucleotides) under Monodelphis domestica (gray short-tailed opossum). RNAcentral's name for it is "lncRNA (ENSMODG00000033400.2)". The record is from RNAcentral. Lineage: Eukaryota; Metazoa; Chordata; Mammalia; Didelphimorphia; Didelphidae.